CUGUGAGCCAAUCAUCAGCCGGCAGCUGGAAGUUUGCUGGCAGCUGGAAGUUUGCUGGGGCCCCUUCAGCAACAGAGAAUGGCUUCCCACAAGGUAUGUUUCCAAUAACAGUUUAAUUUUCUGAGCCUUUAUGAUGUUAAUUGGUCUCAUUGAUUUAUGUGGUACUGUUGGGGCUCCCAUGGAUCCUAGCUAUUGCUGACUGAGGGUGUGGAAGACAUUUUCCUUGAGCAGGAUAUCUCCUAGUGGGGAAGGGGAGACUCAGACUCAUGGGGAUGAAGAGGCUUCCUAGGCUAGGUGGCUGUGGCUUGGUCCCUUUUGACAGUUCUGCCUCUUCACAUAUCUUUUGUUAAAGGGAGGGAGUCUCAUGUGUAUGAAAUUAAAAAAGCUUCUGUUCCUUUCCCUUGAUGGGGCUGGGUCUCUUUUGCCAAUCCUGUCCAUUCACCUUGGAAUCUCUCACUGAGGUUGGGGAAAGUCUCUACCCCAGCAUGGAAGGCAGGUAUCUGUCUUGGCUGCUUACUAUGGAUAAAUCCCAGGCUAAUCCUCUUGGCCAAUUUUGUCUUGUUUCUCUGAUGUUGUAAGAAGGAUUUCCAUUCAGGCAACUUUCUAUUGAUAUUAUGGGGAUUGGAAAGCCCUGGAUCUGAGUAACUUUCUUCUGCUGGGAUAUAAGACACCCUACUAUGCUAUUCUUCUAUCCCUGGACUCCAAACCAGUUUGCCUUCUUCUUAACACGUUUUUAAAUUGGUGUAUUAUAAUUAUACAUGAUAGUGGGAUUCAUUAUGCCAUAUGUGUACAUACACAUAACAUAAUUUGAUCAGUCUCAUUCCUCAUUGCCAUCCCUUCCCACCUUUUCCUUCCCUGGAUCCAUUUGCUCUACUCUACUUAUUAUUAUUUUAAUUAGUGUGCUAUAAUUAUGUUAUCUAUAAGUGAGGAAUUCAUUGUGGUAUAUUCAUACAUGGACACAGCAUAAUUUGGUAGAUUUUAUUCCCCAGUAUUUCCCUGUUCCCUUUUUAAUACUUUUUAGAAUUCUCUUUUGGUUGUUUCUUGCAUUAUUUAAUGGGUUUGUUGUUUGCAGGGAGGAUUGGGGAGAAAUCGAUCUGUAUAAUUUUGUUCAGACUGGACCAGAAAUCACUUGUUUCUGUACAUCUUAAUAGCAAUCAUCAUUGACUUUUCUCUCCAAUCCUGUAGUUUUUGCUCUGGGAAGCAGAUGGCUGAUUCUCCUAUUUAUUCUAACAGGGUUAAAGCUCAAAAAUGGCACUGGAAAUGAACAUCUUAAAUCUGUUUCUCCAUCAGAAAUACAAGCACCAGGAUGCAAAGUAUCAAAGAAGACCAGAGUGAAAGUUGUCCAGAUAACAAUGGGCAAGGAAAAUCAUGAUGAUAUAUACAGGGUACAGAAACAGGGUCGAGCUUUACCAAGGAAGAAAAGAAAGAAACUUUCAACUUGCAAACAAGAGCUUCCAAAACAUAUGGAUCUUCACAGGAAAGGAUACACAGGAGAGAAACCUUUUAAAUGUCAGGAAUGUGGGAAAAGCUUCAGAGUUAGCUCUGAUCUUAUUAGGCACCAGAGAAUUCACACUGAAGAGAAGCCCUAUAAAUGUCAACAAUGUGAUAGGAGGUUUAGAUGGAGUUCAGAUCUCAAUAAGCACUUCAUGGCACAUCAAGGAAUAAAACCAUAUAGAUGUUCAUGGUGUGGGAAAAGCUUCAGUCACAACACAAAUCUACACACACACCAACGAAUUCACACAGGAGAGAAGCCUUUUAAGUGUCAAGAAUGUGGAAAAAGAUUUAAUCAGAACUCUCACCUUAUUAAACACCAGAGAACUCACACAGGUGAGCAGCCUUAUACUUGUAGCAUGUGCAGGAGAAACUUUAGCAGACGUUCCAGCCUUCUUAGACACCAAAAACUCCAUAGGAGUAGUGAAGCAUGUUCAGUGUCUCCAGUCUGAAAAAAAGUGACUAUAUGGAAUAACAGAAAUGAUAAAGGAAUACAAAAUUAUGAGACAUCCAAUGAUAGGAAACUGAUUAUCAACAGAAAGUUUGGGAGAGGUUUAUGUUCUGCAUCACAGAAAGGAAUCUAAGCUAUCUCUAUUAUUCAGCAUUGUAUCUUCAGUGCCUAGCACAAGACUGGUACAUAAUGAGUACAUUAUAAAUAAAAGAUUGAAAAUAUAGGUAUCAGAUACAUCAAUAGCUAUACAUUUAUCUAAUUAUUCAGAGCUUAUUCACUCUCAAUGACAAAGUCUUUAGGUAUCAAGUGUUCAGCAAAUGUAUGCUGGUCACAAGUCCUACUGUCAUUCUUCAUUCUUUCUCAGGAGAAAUGGAAAAUAAGAGUAUUCUAGGCCUCCUGAAGGUAACUCAGAGAGGAAUUCUGAACUAUGGAUAGUUUAUAGUUGUGAUUCUGUCUCCAUGGACAACCAAGCCUAGGGUUCAGGAGAACUUCAAUAGUUUUUUAUUUUAAGGAGAACUUUGUAACAGCAAGAGAGGAUUCAGUGCUUGUCCUGGGUAAAGUGCUUCUGUUCUAAUUGUCUUUUUCCAGAGUCUCCACCACUGCAAUGUCUUUUGUUAUUGAAUUCCAAGCAACAAGGAAAGGCCUGAAGGCCAAAACAGACCUAGGGUCCUUACAAGCACUUGAACUCUACCUUUGCCUUUCAACACAGUCAUAUAGACUGAAGUGAUGAUAGAGGCAUCCUGGGCCCUCAUCCAAAUAUCUGUCUAUUUGUAUAAAGAAUAGAGCAGUGGUUAAUUGAUUUUUUUGGUUUUGAUCAUGUACUCUGGAGGUUUUCAAGUCAGUGCCAUAUUGUUCUAGGGCCUAAUUGAAGUUUCAUUUUUAUAGCUUACGCAGCCUUAACUCUAUACACUAGAAUGCUCUACAGGAAGGUCUGAGCAUUAUUUUACUGAUAAUGGCAAGGAGAGUCUGUAGCCUCUCUACCUUGGUGCACAUCUGACACCAGGAGGGAACAUCCAGAAAUAUCCAAGAAAAGUAAGGUGUGUGGCUUAGAGUUAUGGUACUAGUCAGAGCCAGGCUAGAUGCAAACUGUUUUCUGAUGUAAUUUUUCCUUUUUCUCCACUGGUUUAAGUGAUUAUCUCAUAACGGAAUAUAAUGUGAAGUGUUGAGAGCCACAGCCUGAGGGGCCCCAGCAAACUUCCAGCUGCCAGCAAACUUCCAGCUGCCGGCUGAUGAUUGGCUCACAGCGGCCCCAGCAACAUCUAGCUGAUUGGCUCCUCGGCCCCAGCAACAUCUAGCUGAUUGGCUCCUCGGCCCCAGCAACAUCUAGCUGAUUGGCUCCUCGGCCCCAGCAACAUCUAGCUGAUUGGCUCCUCUGCGGUGAUGCUCAUUGGACUGUUUCCCUGCCCUUUCAGACCACGGAGCUGCUCAUUGGGGGACUUUUUUGGCUCCGCCCACGUGACCCAGCCAAUCGGCCUCAAGAGCAGGAGGAUUGUGGGAGGUGGAGAGAAGCUUGGGUGGGAGAGAGAGGCUUGGGGAAAGCCGGUGGUGGCAGUUGAGGCUCUGAGGGUUUUUCCUGAGAGACUAUUUUGUUUGUCGUGUGUGGUUCUAAAAAUAAAGUUAGUUUCUUUUGACAAGUGGCUCCUGAUUGUGCCCAGCCAGACUGCGGCAGUGAAGGCUGAGGAUAUAGAUGAGUAAGUAGUAGAGAGUUGCCUAGUAUGCACAAGGCCCUGGAUUUAAUAUCCAGUACUUCCCCCCACAAAAUAACAAAAAAGAAAAUGUGAUAUCAAAGGAAAUGGAAUACAUGGAUUUUUAUGUGUGUCAGAGCCUGGUUUGUGAUGUUGGCCAAGGCUUCAGUUUAUUUAGUAUUUCUCCCCUUCUCCAGUACUGGGGAUUGGACACAGGGACAGUAUACCACUGGGGUACAUCCACAGUACUUUCUGUUUUCUUCUUGAGACAUCAUCCCACUAAGUUACCCACACUGGCCUCAAACUUGGCACUCUACCACUGAGCUACAUCCCCAGCCCUCCACUCUCUGUGUGAAUUUAUGUCUGCAUCCUGGAUAGCUGUUAUCACAUCACCAUUCAAAGGACUGGGUCACACUAAGUUGCCCAGACUGGCCUCCUGCCUUAGCAUCCUGUGUUUUGUUUGCCACCAUGUCCAACCUGUAUUUAGAAUUUCAUGCAGUUUUACUUUCUAAUAAAAAUGAAAUGUUUCAUAUGAAAUUUAAGCAUUAAAAAAAAGCUCCUUUUAUAUCAAACUACCCAGAAAUGGCCAACAUUGACUUCUUUGAAAUAGAUGCUUUCACAUUUUUUUCCUCCAAGAGACCUUUCUGAGUCUUUUUGCAGAUUAC
Molecule: long non-coding RNA, 4292 nt
Filed under: Marmota monax (woodchuck)
Lineage: Eukaryota; Metazoa; Chordata; Mammalia; Rodentia; Sciuridae
Source: RNAcentral